AUACAGAGGGUGCAAGCGUUAAUCGGAAUUACUGGGCGUAAAGCGCGCGUAGGUGGUUCAGUAAGAUGGAAGUGAAAUCCCCGGGCUUAACCUGGGAACUGCUUUCAUAACUGCUGAGCUAGAGUACGGUAGAGGGUAGUGGAAUUUCCUGUGUAGCGGUGAAAUGCGUAGAUAUAGGAAGGAACACCAGUGGCGAAGGCGACUACCGGGACUAAUACUGAAACUGAGGUGCGAAAGCGUGGGGAGCAAACAGGAUUAGAUCCCCUGGUAGUACACGCCGUAAACGAUGUCAACUAGCCGUUGGGAACCUUGAGUUCUUAGUGGCGCAGCUAACGCACUAAGUUGACCGCCUGGGGAGUACGGUCGCAAGAUUAAAACUCAAAUGAAUUGGCGGGG
This 396-nucleotide ribosomal RNA is filed under the name uncultured bacterium. RNAcentral describes it as "partial 16S ribosomal RNA". It matches the Rfam family "Bacterial small subunit ribosomal RNA", at positions 523 to 918 of the family's 1533-position model. The record is from RNAcentral.